GGGCGACGAUUGGGUGAGAACCCUAGCAUCCACUCCCCAUCGUUGUUCCUCUCUUGCAUCCUGCCUCACUACUGCUGCUCUCGCCGCCGAGCUCGCCCGCCGCCGCCGCUGCCGCAUCAUCUUCUCCUCCUUGGGAACCCUAGAGCGUCUACUCUCCUGGCUGUUCGUAUCUUGGCUCGCCACAAAAAAUGGGCGAGGGUGAGUAGGACGAGGCCAUGGCUAGGGUUUCGGGCUGGGCAUCGCCUUCGUCGCCGGCGCGGCUCCGGUGGACUCCGGCGGCUCCUCUCCGUCUCCUUUUCCGUCCCCACGCGCGGCUCCGCUUCCUGCUGGCCAUGGGGUGCAGCCUUACAGGGGCGCAUCGGGCUGGGCAUCCUCUGUUUCUGAGUGCAUGGGGCGGUUUGAUAUGGCUGCUACUCCCUACAAAUUGCUCCCUACACUGCUUGACCUUACUAUUCCGCCAUCCAUAGUGAGAGAUGUGUUGCAUCUGCUGCUGUAGGUUGACAUUGUGUUCUCUUGGUGCUGUAGAUUUGAUUAUCUAUAGCUUUUUAGAUUUGUCCCCAUCAAGUAAAACACUCUACAUCAGUGUAAUCGCAGCAAGAUUAGACAAUAGUUUGCUCCUUAUCAAUGCUUCACAUAUUGCUUGUGUUUAGGGCACUGCAUUGUUAGGUUCUUGGGAGUAUGGGAUUGUCUAUUUCUCUCUUAUGUACUAUCUAUUCUCGAUGCUGAACAAUGUUUUGGUAUAUGUUCAUCUAGUAAUUACCAAAUUGUUUCCUUUCUCAGUGUUCUCCAGUGAUGGAAGAGGUUCUAAUGUUUUUCCAGUCAGGAUGGAAAUAAACUUCCAAAAAUAUGAACCAGGUGACAAUGAUUUUCUUGCAGUAAAUCUCCCUUAUUUGCUACGGUACUUUCGAUGGUUCAGCUACCAACUAAUUAGAUAAUAUCUAUUGUUGAUUUCUUAUUCUACAAAAGUGCCUUGAGAUGCUCCUGAAAUAACCACAAUCCCAUUGUUUGUCAUAUCAUAAUACAACAAACUGUCAUAUAUGAAGUUUUUCAUGAUACAAACAUAUAUUUGUUUGUUUUUAGGGCUCAGAUUUUAAAUUUCCAGUGGGUUGCUGACUAUUUCAGUUUUUUCAGCAAUUUGGAGGCUCUUGACUGAUAUUGCUAUUAAGCUAUGAAGCAAAGAUAAUUGUUAGUCUCUACAGGAUGAGCCACCAACAUGAAUAAAUCCUUGCAUGUUUUUUUACCCUUGAAUCAGUUUGCAUUUCCCCCUUAUUGUUGGUACAUUGCUCUGCAACAUUUUAUUCCUAUUAUACCAUGGCUACUUUAGUUGUAAGAGAUGCAUGCUUACAAAGUUUAAUUAUAUAUGUUCCAUAAAUAGGUUGCUUUCUGAAACACGUGCUUCAUAUACAAGGUUGAUGUCCAGGUCUAGCCAUGAGUCACUUUGUUGAUAGGUGUAUGCUUUUACGUAUUUCUAAAAUGAAAAUAGUCAUGGUGAAGUGUCUAAUCUUAGGUAUUUACAUACGGUUGAACCAUCGAUAUGAGAACUUUUUUGUAUUGCUUUCUUUUAGCUCUGUCCAUGGUGCUCUCAUGGAUGUAUUUAUACCUUUGCACAGCGGUGACACCUCUCCACGUAUACAUGUCCAAAAAUCUUUAUUUUAUGGAAAAUUGGAGAUCCGGUUGAAUCUGACCAAGUAAUCACUUUUCUCGCAGACUCUGCCUCUAUCCCAGUAAUUCUUUAACAAGUAUUCUUCUUCUUUUCUCAACCUCUUGCAUGCAAUUUCAGGUCACUCCAUCUAUCCGUGGAAUAUACAUGUUUGUAGCAUAUUUUGUGAUAUUUUGAACUUUUAUUUUUCCAAGAUUAUUGUUGUACAUUUGCCUGUUUAACUUCCUGGAUGGCCUAAUUAUGAGCUUGCGGAUGCUCAAGAAAUCUCAAAGAUCUGUUCGGUGGUCUACAAACGUGUUUAUGUUUUUACAGUGGUAGACAAACUUUUAAUCGUGCCGGCCAAGUAUAGUUUGUUUGUGGUCCUUAAAUUUAUGUAUGUGUUCUCACUUGGUGAAUUUAUUGUUCUAUCCUUCUGUUCAGCACAGAUAAACUGAGUGAGUCAUGAACAACCAUCAUUUAUAGAAUUGGAUGUAUAAAUUCCUGUAGUGUUUCUGAUUCUGAAGAUUACUUUAUUUUCUGGACAUGGGUUCAGUAACAAGGAAGCCAAACACCAUGCACCACUUUCCUCUUUUUCCAAAAUGUUGUUUCUUUAAUCAUUUUUCAAAAUGUACAUGCUUUCAUGGAGUACGAAGGCUAGGCUCUGCUGCUGCUGAUAUGUCCCAUGUUGGUCUAGGCAUUACAGAGGCUUACUGGGAAUAUCGGCUUAAGCCGUGUGACAUGGUUGCUGGCAUUCUGGUACUCCUUCUUACACCGUGGAAUCAGAUUUGCUAAAUAAUCAUCAGUUUGGUAGAAAGUGGGACUGGCUUAUUUGCUUAUUUUCAAACCUUACCGUCUUUUUAUUCAGAUAAUCUUUCCUCUAAUGAUGGUUCUUAUAUUUCCGUACUCUCAUAGUUUGGGUUGAAAAUAACAGAGUUAAUCUUAUCUUAAGGAAAUCAUUGAGAAGUUCUCAACUAAUCUUUGAAAGAAAUUGAUUUCAUUUUCUGUAAUCAAAUCUAGAAUUCGCAUAGUAAAAGGUACUCCCUCCUUCCCAAAAUAUAAGGCACGCGUUGACUUUUUGGGUCUUCGUCGCAUAACUUUGACCAUUAUUUUCACUCAUUGUAUGUCUACAAAAUUACUAUAAAAACAUAUGAGAUAUUUCGGGAAGGAGGGAGUAUCAAAGUGAUGUGUAUAUUGAUAUUCUGAAAUAUACUUAUCUAUCAGUCUUUAUUUCAGUUACAUAAAUUUCAUCGAUCCUGAGUAGUCUGGCUUCUUAUUUACAUCUCUAAGCAACUCUUUACUCCAUGGAGUUUGACAGUAUAUAAUUAUUUGGCGAAUUUAGUCAUUUUUCAAUAGAUAGUUGAAGAAGCUGGUGUGGUAGUGACAUGCAUGGAUGGUGGAGAGUUUACAGUCUUUGAUCGUUCUGUUUUUGUUUCCAAUGGCGUUGUUCAAGGUCAGGCCAGUUUUGUAGAAAGUAGCUUCUUUCCUGAUUUGCUAAGAAUCACCUCCUCCAACGGUACUACAGUACUAAUAUCUCCAGCAUUGGCAGUCACGCCCUUAAAAGGUCAGCCUUACAUUUCUGGCUGUUUCGCAGUUAGGCCGGUGGCAUGGUGGAGGGGCUGUCUUGCGAGUUGACCGGAGAGCUUGAAUUUUUAUUGCUCUCUUUGUUCUAUUUUCUUUCCUCUUUCCAGCUUAGUCCCUUCUUAAAUAAUUAAUAGCUUUGGAAUCCCUGUGAUUGUUACACUGUGUUCUUGAUAAACCUGUUAGCUUUCUUAAUAUCCUAUAUAUAUAUAUGGAUAUACCAGUUUAUUAAUAUGCACCACUCGUGCUGUAGUUUGGAUUGACUCAUGAGUUAUUUGUGUGUAGAUGUCCAUCUGUACAUAAUAUACAGUACUAAAACUAAUAUGUUUCCAGUGAAUAAUUGCUUAUGCAACUUUUUUUACAAGGACUAUACUCAAUCAGGGGAAACUUUAAUUAAGGUUUAAAAGGACGUUGGCUAGACUAAUUUGUUUUCUUGGCUCCAGGUAGAUGGUAAUGUAGGAUUUUAGUUUUAACAUGAAUUUGCUCAUUCAGAGUGUUGCAUUCUAAGCCACAGGAUUGACAGAGUGUUUAUUUCCCCCAUUAUCUUGCUGGCUAUCUUCAUUAACAAGCAGUGAUUCCUCACAGAGACAACCCCUUGCUGUCGCUCUCCUUCUCAUCCACGACCCCUUGCUGAUGCUGCCCUCCUUCUCACUGGUGGCCAAAUCUUCCUCCUCCCCGUCGGCGGUUGCGACCAAGCCAGCACCAAAGGCCCCCCAUCAGCAAAGCGGUUUGUUGCGUUCCACCUCGUCCUGGCCUUCGUCCGUUUUGUGCUCGACAUGGUCUUCCUACAUCGGCUGAGUCCACGGACCUGCAGGGAUGACUUAAAGGUUUGUGGAUGGAAUGUGAGAUGUCUCAGUUAAAGUUCCAUGAAGAAAGAUACCAAAUAAUGGAUGUUGUGAUGCUACUCGAUGGAUGGCGGGCUAACUUGGAAUCAACCAUUCUACAGGAGGAACAAUCAUUCGAACUACCCAUUAUCUGAGAACGACAAGAAAUUGUAGACCAUUAUACAUCAGUAACAAGAAAGAAAAACUCCGCUCUGCUAAGAAGCGAAAGGUUCAGGCCACAUGUGACGAACCGUGUCUAUGUGGCAGAAGUUUGACACGGGACCACAUCUGUGUAGUUUCGACGUCUUCAGAAACGAGUGUGUCUAUGCAACUGAAAUGGACAUUUCCCUAUGCGAGAUCAAACGACUCGAGUGUUACAUUGGUUCAACCACCCCUCUCAUCAAGUACUAUGUUUGCGAGAUGAACAAGACAUUCGCCGCUCCUAGACAAACAAUGUGCUUUUCCUGUCGCUUCACAAGGCUAUAUCUAAAGGACCAUCUGAACGAACCGUUCAACGACAUGACGAUCAAACUCAACCCUGAAGGUGUUACGAAACAGGUCCGAAUGAUAAUGGGUGCAGACAAGAGGGCCACGAUAACAGACAAUUGGUCGGAUUUUGUCAAAGCGGUGGGAAUCAAAGAGUUUGAGAUAUGUGUCUUAGCCUUUGAGAUUGAAAGUGGGAAACCAACGCUCGCUGUCCGUAGGCUUUAAGAAGGCUAAAGUAUGAAUCACAAAUGCAUUGUUUAUCCAGAUAUUAUUGUAUGCCGUGUAUCUCACAGGUUGUCUGCAUUAGGAUCAUAUGGAGUGGCGCCUGUGAAGAUUAUUGACCAGGCAGAUGAUAAAAGACACUUAUUAGUGUGAAGUGACGCCUAUGAAUAAUGUUUGGUAGCACCUACAGAAUUAAACGACAAGGCAGUUGACCGAAGCCGCUUAUUAGUAUGCUUAGUAAAUAUGGCUCUGUCAUUGUCCCUCCUCUAUGUUCAUGUCUUUAUUAUUCCUGCCUUGUACUCAUGCUUGUGACGUCGAAUUUUAUGUCAAGUGGCUGCGAUUUUGGUGUCAAACUUCAUGACAAGUUAUCUUUUAUGGUAUUAUAAACGAUCUGAAAUCAAUUAUGCAUUUCUCUUACCA
Molecule: long non-coding RNA, 5169 nt
Organism: Triticum dicoccoides
Lineage: Eukaryota; Viridiplantae; Streptophyta; Magnoliopsida; Poales; Poaceae
Exons: 9
Source: RefSeq, a predicted model, not a curated record